RNAcentral lists this ribosomal RNA (1426 nucleotides) under Staphylococcus sp. Its description in RNAcentral is "bacterial SSU rRNA". It matches the Rfam family "Bacterial small subunit ribosomal RNA". Lineage: Bacteria; Bacillati; Bacillota; Bacilli; Caryophanales; Staphylococcaceae. The record is from RNAcentral.
AUGCUGGCGGCGUGCCUAAUACAUGCAAGUCGAGCGAACAGAUAGGAGCUUGCUCCUUUGAAGUUAGCGGCGGACGGGUGAGUAACACGUGGGUAACCUACCUAUAAGACUGGGAUAACUUCGGGAAACCGGAGCUAAUACCGGAUAACAUUUAGAACCGCAUGGUUCUAAAGUGAAAGAUGGUUUUGCUAUCACUUAUAGAUGGACCCGCGCCGUAUUAGCUAGUUGGUAAGGUAACGGCUUACCAAGGCGACGAUACGUAGCCGACCUGAGAGGGUGAUCGGCCACACUGGAACUGAGACACGGUCCAGACUCCUACGGGAGGCAGCAGUAGGGAAUCUUCCGCAAUGGGCGAAAGCCUGACGGAGCAACGCCGCGUGAGUGAUGAAGGGUUUCGGCUCGUAAAACUCUGUUAUUAGGGAAGAACAAAUGUGUAAGUAACUGUGCACAUCUUGACGGUACCUAAUCAGAAAGCCACGGCUAACUACCUGCCAGCAGCCGCUGUAAUACGUAUGUGGCAAGCGUUAUCCGGAAUUAUUGGGCGUAAGCGCGCGUAGGCGGUUUCUUAAGUCUGAUGUGAAAGCCCACGGCUCAACCGUGGAGGGUCAUUGGAAACUGGGAAACUUGAGUGCAGAAGAGGAAAGUGGAAUUCCAUGUGUAGCGGUGAAAUGCGCAGAGAUAUGGAGGAACACCAGUGGCGAAGGCGACUUUCUGGUCUGUAACUGACGCUGAUGUGCGAAAGCGUGGGGAUCAAACAGGAUUAGAUACCCUGGUAGUCCACGCCGUAAACGAUGAGUGCUAAGUGUUAGGGGGUUUCCGCCCCUUAGUGCUGCAGCUAACGCAUUAAGCACUCCGCCUGGGGAGUACGACCGGAAGGCUGAAACUCAAAGGAAUCGACGGGGACCCGCACAAGCGGUGGAGCAUGUGGUUUAAUUCGAAGCAACGCGAAGAACUUUACCAAAUCUUGACAUCCUUUGAAAACUCUAGAGAUAGAGCCUUCCCCUUCGGGGGACAAAGUGACAGGUGGUGCAUGGUUGUCGUCAGCUCGUGUCGUGAGAUGUUGGGUUAAGUCCCGCAACGAGCGCAACCCUUAAGCUUAGUUGCCAUCAUUAAGUUGGGCACUCUAGGUUGACUGCCGGUGACAAACCGGAGGAAGGUGGGGAUGACGUCAAAUCAUCAUGCCCCUUAUGAUUUGGGCUACACACGUGCUACAAUGGACAAUACAAAGGGCAGCUAAACCGCGAGGUCAUGCAAAUCCCAUAAAGUUGUUCUCAGUUCGGAUUGUAGUCUGCAACUCGACUACAUGAAGCUGGAAUCGCUAGUAAUCGUAGAUCAGCAUGCUACGGUGAAUACGUUCCCGGGUCUUGUACACACCGCCCGUCACACCACGAGAGUUUGUACCACCUGAUGCCGGUGGAGUAACCAU